UACGUAGGGUGCAAGCGUUGUCCGGAAUUAUUGGGCGUAAAGCGCGUGUAGGCGGUUUCGUGUGUCUGAUGUGAAAUCCCCGGGCUCAACCCGGGAAGUGCAUUGGAAACUGCGAGACUAGAGUCCCGGAGAGGAAGGUGGAAUUCCAGGUGUAGCGGUGAAAUGCGUAGAUAUCUGGAAGAACACCGGUGGCGAAGGCGGCCUUCUGGACGGUGACUGACGCUGAGACGCGAAAGCGUGGGGAGCAAACAGG
This 253-nucleotide ribosomal RNA is filed under the name uncultured bacterium. RNAcentral's name for it is "partial 16S ribosomal RNA". It matches the Rfam family "Bacterial small subunit ribosomal RNA", at positions 524 to 776 of the family's 1533-position model. The record is from RNAcentral.